This 926-nucleotide ribosomal RNA is filed under the name uncultured fungus. Its description in RNAcentral is "eukaryotic LSU rRNA". The stretch from base 275 to 926 matches the Rfam family "Eukaryotic large subunit ribosomal RNA", at positions 1 to 667 of the family's 3401-position model. Lineage: Eukaryota; Fungi. The record is from RNAcentral.
AUCGAUGAAGAACGCAGCGAAAUGCGAUAAGUAAUGUGAAUUGCAGAAUUCAGUGAAUCAUCGAAUCUUUGAACGCACAUUGCGCCCCUUGGUAUUCCGAGGGGCAUGCCUGUUCGAGCGUCAUUACAACCCUCAAGCUCUGCUUGGUAUUGGGCAUCACUAGAAAUAGUGUGCCUUAAAGACAGUGGCGGUGCCAUCUGGCUCUAAGCGUAGUAAUUCUUCUCGCUAUAGAUGUCUUGUGGAUGCUUGCCAGCAACCCCUAAUUUUUUAAGGUUGACCUCGGAUCAGGUAGGGAUACCCGCUGAACUUAAGCAUAUCAAUAAGCGGAGGAAAAGAAACCAACAGGGAUUACCUCAGUAACGGCGAGUGAAGCGGUAACAGCUCAAAUUUGAAAUCUGGGUCUUUCAGGCUCCGAGUUGUAAUUUGUAGAAGAUGCUUCGGGUGUAGCUCCGGUCUAAGUUCCUUGGAACAGGACGUCAUAGAGGGUGAGAAUCCCGUAUGUGACUGGGUGCUUUCGCUCAUGUGAAGCUCUUUCAACGAGUCGAGUUGUUUGGGAAUGCAGCUCAAAAUGGGUGGUAUAUUUCAUCUAAAGCUAAAUAUUGGCCAGAGACCGAUAGCGCACAAGUAGAGUGAUCGAAAGAUGAAAAGCACUUUGGAAAGAGAGUUAAACAGUACGUGAAAUUGUUGAAAGGGAAGCGCUUGCAACCAGACUUGCACGUUGUCGAUCAUCCGAGGUUUUCCCCGGUGCACUCGAUUUCGUUCAGGCCAGCAUCGGUUUCAGUGGUUGGAUAAAGGCCUUAGGAAUGUGGCACCUCUCGGGGUGUGUUAUAGCCUAAGGUGCAAUGCAGCCUACUGGGACCGAGGACCGCGCUUCGGCUAGGAUGCUGGCGUAAUGGUUGUAAGCGACCCGUCUUGAAACACGGAAG